RNAcentral lists this ribosomal RNA (253 nucleotides) under uncultured bacterium. RNAcentral's name for it is "partial 16S ribosomal RNA". It matches the Rfam family "Bacterial small subunit ribosomal RNA", at positions 524 to 776 of the family's 1533-position model. The record is from RNAcentral.
GACGGAGGAUGCAAGUGUUAUCCGGAAUCACUGGGCGUAAAGCGUCUGUAGGUGGUUUAAUAAGUCAACUGUUAAAUCUUGAGGCUCAACCUCGAAAUCGCAGUCGAAACUAUUAGACUAGAGUAUAGUAGGGGUAAAGGGAAUUUCCAGUGGAGCGGUGAAAUGCGUAGAUAUUGGAAAGAACACCGAUGGCGAAGGCACUUUACUGGGCUAUUACUAACACUGAGAGACGAAAGCUAGGGUAGCAAAUGGG